Non-coding RNA from Camellia sinensis, 188 nucleotides. Lineage: Eukaryota; Viridiplantae; Streptophyta; Magnoliopsida; Ericales; Theaceae. The record is from RefSeq and is a predicted model, not a curated record.
UAAAUUAAUAUCAUAUCGACAACAGCUUAAACGGUUGCUAAAAAUUUGAACCAAUAUGCAUAUGCGACAGUUGUCAACCGAAUAUUCUUUACAAAAAAAUAUAAAACAUCCUCCAACAAUACUAAUAAUUUUUGAUAUUCAAUAACUCGAAUUUUUGUAUCUAAAACAAAACAAAAGUAUCGAUAAUA